AUUGAACGCUGGCGGCAGGCUUAACACAUGCAAGUCGAGCGGGGUGAUGGUGCUUGCACUAUCACUUAGCGGCGGACGGGUGAGUAAUGCUUAGGAAUCUGCCUAUUAGUGGGGGACAACAUCUCGAAAGGGGUGCUAAUACCGCAUACGUCCUACGGGAGAAGGCAGGGGAUCACUUGUGACCUUGCGCUAAUAGAUGAGCCUAAGUCGGAUUAGCUAGUUGGUGGGGUAAAGGCCUACCAAGGCGACGAUCUGUAGCGGGUCUGAGAGGAUGAUCCGCCACACUGGGACUGAGACACGGCCCAGACUCCUACGGGAGGCAGCAGUGGGGAAUAUUGGACAAUGGGGGGAACCCUGAUCCAGCCAUGCCGCGUGUGUGAAGAAGGCCUUAUGGUUGUAAAGCACUUUAAGCGAGGAGGAGGCUCUUUUGGUUAAUACCCAAGAUGAGUGGACGUUACUCGCAGAAUAAGCACCGGCUAACUCUGUGCCAGCAGCCGCCGUAA
This 503-nucleotide ribosomal RNA is filed under the name uncultured bacterium. Its description in RNAcentral is "partial 16S ribosomal RNA". It matches the Rfam family "Bacterial small subunit ribosomal RNA", at positions 30 to 523 of the family's 1533-position model. The record is from RNAcentral.